CCCUCGCCUUGAGCGAGGGACCGCCAGACGUGGCAUUGCCGCGGCCCAGGAGGGUGGGGCGGGAUCUUGGAGUCUCGCGGUGCACCUAGACGCUCCGGAUCGCGGCUUUAAAUCCGUGUGUGUUCCCAAACACUCGGGGAAAAUCAGAAGUGGCGACCAGCCGAUAAGAAAACUGGGUCAAAUGGAAAGAUGGAUGAUGUUUUUGGAUGGGAAGACUCAGUAACAUAAAGAUCUCAAUUUUCUGCAACCACCAGCUGCUGGCUCUAUCAGCCUGAAGAGUACAGUAAAGCGUUAUGUCUCUGACUGUUUGGAAAGCCAUUCGAGAAGCAAUCAGAAGGUUUUUACUGAACAACUGCUGUGGACUCGGUGCUGUGCUGGGCGACAGUGAAUAACAUGACUGUGGUGCGCCUCUGCCGAUAAGGCAUUGGCAGGCUGUUGAGGGAUCCCCAUUCCAUGCUCACGAUGUGUUUUAAUGAGCUGGGAGGAGAGACAGUGAUGCUGGGGUAGUAGACUUGAAGCAGGAUGCAGGCCAGGCCAGAG
This is a non-coding RNA of Vicugna pacos (alpaca), 540 nucleotides long. The record is from RefSeq and is a predicted model, not a curated record. Lineage: Eukaryota; Metazoa; Chordata; Mammalia; Artiodactyla; Camelidae.